Long non-coding RNA from Limanda limanda (common dab), 455 nucleotides. RefSeq lists it as uncharacterized. The transcript is spliced from 3 exons. NCBI's taxonomy places the organism in Eukaryota, Metazoa, Chordata, Actinopteri, Pleuronectiformes, Pleuronectidae. The record is from RefSeq and is a predicted model, not a curated record.
CCCCCCCCCCCCCCACACACACACACACACACAAACAAAGAGGCGUUAGGCUGAGACGCUGAAAGUCCGGAUUUAAAGUGCAGAAAAUUAAGCCAUUGAAUCUGCCUGUCCAUGACGUAGUAAGACACACUAUGAGCCAGUAUGAUCCGACCAGACCUUACAUCAGCAUUGAGGAGUUGUCGGAGAAGAAAGAGGCUGAUUGAAGCGGGACAGAUGACAUGGAUCCAUCCUUCCACAGCCAGGAGCGCACCGACCUGUGUCCCACACUUCAUAUAAGACUGGAAGCUACACUGAUCUCACAGCUACACACCACAGACGUCUACACACUGGAGAAGAUUCAGACAGAGUCCCACAAAGAAGUCAUGACCCAGAGGCUGCAGAGAAACAUUUCAAGCCUCACCUGAGAUUUUGUACAAUAUUUUUGCUGUAUGUAAAUAAAGCUUUCACUCCACAUA